GAUGAACGCUGGCGGCGUGCCUAAUACAUGCAAGUCGAGCGAACAGACGAGGAGCUUGCUCCUCUGACGUUAGCGGCGGACGGGUGAGUAACACGUGGAUAACCUACCUAUAAGACUGGGAUAACUUCGGGACACCGGAGCUAAUACCGGAUAAUAUAUUGAACCGCAUGGUUCAAUAGUGAAAGACGGUUUUGCUGUCACUUAUAGAUGGAUCCGCGCCGUAUUAGCUAGUUGGUAAGGUAACGGCUUACCAAGGCAACGAUGCGUAGCCGACCUGAGAGGGUGGUCGGCCACCCUGGAACGGAGACACGGUCCAGACUCCUACGGGAGGCAGCAGUAGGGAAUCGUCCGCAAUGGGCGAAAGCCUGACGGAGCAACGCCGCGUGAGUGAUGAAGGUCUUCGGAUCGUAAAACUCUGUUAUUAGGGAAGAACAAAUGUGUAAGUAACUAUGCAUGUCUUGACGGUACCUAAUCAGAAAGCCACGGCUAACUACGUG
RNAcentral lists this ribosomal RNA (497 nucleotides) under uncultured bacterium. RNAcentral describes it as "partial 16S ribosomal RNA". It matches the Rfam family "Bacterial small subunit ribosomal RNA", at positions 28 to 507 of the family's 1533-position model. The record is from RNAcentral.